ACGAACGCUGGCGGCGUGCUUAACACAUGCCAGUCGAACGGAAAGGCCCUGCUUUUGUGGGGUGCUCGAGUGGCGAACGGGUGAGUAACACGUGAGUAACCUGCCCUUGACUUUGGGAUAACUUCAGGAAACUGGGGCUAAUACCGGAUAGGAGCUCCUGCUGCAUGGUGGGGGUUGGAAAGUUUCGGCGGUUGGGGGUGGACUCGCGGCUUAUCAGCUUGUUGGUGGGGUAGUGGCUUACCAAGGCUUUGACGGGUAGCCGGCCUGAGAGGGUGACCGGCCACAUUGGGACUGAGAUACGGCCCAGACUCCUACGGGAGGCAGCAGUGGGGAAUAUUGCACAAUGGGCGGAAGCCUGAUGCAGCAACGCCGCGUGCGGGAUGACGGCCUUCGGGUUGUAAACCGCUUUCGCCUGUGACGAAGCGUGAGUGACGGUAAUGGGUAAAGAAGCACCGGCUAACUACGUG
RNAcentral lists this ribosomal RNA (467 nucleotides) under uncultured bacterium. RNAcentral describes it as "partial 16S ribosomal RNA". It matches the Rfam family "Bacterial small subunit ribosomal RNA", at positions 29 to 507 of the family's 1533-position model. The record is from RNAcentral.